This 664-nucleotide ribosomal RNA is filed under the name Halomonas sp. RNAcentral's name for it is "bacterial SSU rRNA". It matches the Rfam family "Bacterial small subunit ribosomal RNA", at positions 54 to 715 of the family's 1533-position model. Lineage: Bacteria; Pseudomonadati; Pseudomonadota; Gammaproteobacteria; Oceanospirillales; Halomonadaceae. The record is from RNAcentral.
CAUGCAGUCGAGCGGUAACAGGGGUAGCUUGCUACCCGCUGACGAGCGGCGGACGGGUGAGUAAUGCAUAGGAAUCUGCCCGAUAGUGGGGGAUAACCUGGGGAAACCCAGGCUAAUACCGCAUACGUCCUACGGGAGAAAGGGGGCUCCGGCUCCCGCUAUUGGAUGAGCCUAUGUCGGAUUAGCUAGUUGGUGAGGUAAAGGCUCACCAAGGCGACGAUCCGUAGCUGGUCUGAGAGGAUGAUCAGCCACAUCGGGACUGAGACACGGCCCGAACUCCUACGGGAGGCAGCAGUGGGGAAUAUUGGACAAUGGGCGAAAGCCUGAUCCAGCCAUGCCGCGUGUGUGAAGAAGGCCCUCGGGUUGUAAAGCACUUUCAGCGAGGAAGAACGCCUAGUGGUUAAUACCCAUUAGGAAAGACAUCACUCGCAGAAGAAGCACCGGCUAACUCCGUGCCAGCAGCCGCGGUAAUACGGAGGGUGCAAGCGUUAAUCGGAAUUACUGGGCGUAAAGCGCGCGUAGGUGGCUUGAUAAGCCGGUUGUGAAAGCCCUCGGGCUCAACCUGGGAACGGCAUCCGGAACUGUCAAGCUAGAGUGCAGGAGAGGAAGGUAGAAUUCCCGGUGUAGCGGUGAAAUGCGUAGAGAUCGGGAGGAAUACCAGUGU